UUGUAGUCAAUUAACUUGAUUCUGCUUUUCCCCCUGUGAGGCCUGGUAUACAAUGGCUGCAAAAGUAGCCUCCUUGGUUGUGGAUGCAGCCUAUUGCUUGUAUGGGUUGUCUAAGGGACCAUGGAGAAAAUU
Molecule: small nucleolar RNA, 132 nt
Organism: Erinaceus europaeus (western European hedgehog)
Lineage: Eukaryota; Metazoa; Chordata; Mammalia; Eulipotyphla; Erinaceidae
Gene: SNORA70
Rfam family: Small nucleolar RNA SNORA70
About the family: snoRNA U70 seems to be exclusive to mammals and is a member of the H/ACA class of snoRNA which contain H (ANANNA) and ACA box motifs. H/ACA box snoRNAs are involved in the conversion of uridines to pseudouridines (5-ribosyluracil) a constituent of structural RNAs (transfer, ribosomal, small nuclear, and small nucleolar).
Source: Ensembl